Molecule: ribosomal RNA, 1009 nt
Filed under: uncultured bacterium
Lineage: Bacteria
Description: bacterial SSU rRNA
Rfam family: Bacterial small subunit ribosomal RNA
Source: RNAcentral
GCCAAGGACGCCCGCGUGCGGAAGAAGGCCUCGGUUUGUAAACGCUUUCAGGGAGGACGAAGCCUCGGUUAAUAGCCCAGAGGGUGACGGUACCUCCAGAAGAAGUCCGCUAACUACCCAGCAGCCGCGGUGUAAGGGGCGUUGUCCGGAUUAUUGGCGUAAAGCGCGUGUAGGCGGCCAGGUAGGUCGGUGAAAACUCGAGGCUACCAACCUCGAGCUGUCGGCCGAAACCAUCUGGCUAGAGUCCGGAAGAGGAGAGUGGAAUGCAAUCCCGGUGUAGCGGUGAAGCAUACGCAGAUAUCGGGAAGAACACCCGUGGCGAAGGCGGCUCUGCUCUGGGACGGUACUGAUGAGACGCGAAAGCGUGGGGAGCGAACAGGAUUAGAUACCCUGGUAGUCCACGCCGUAAACGAUGGGAACUAGGUGUGGGCGGUGUCGACUCCGUCCGUGCCGAAGCUAACGCAUUAAGUUCCCCGCCUGGGGCGCAGUGGGGCCGCAAGGCUAAUAAACUCAAAGGAAUUGACGGGGGCCCGCACAAGCAGCGGAGCAUGGUUUAAUUCUACGGACGCGAAGAACCUUCAGGGCUACAUGCACUGGAAUGUCGUAGAAAUACGGCAGCCCUUCGGGGCCAGUGUGCACAGACGCGACUGGUGUGCAUGGCUGUCGUCAGCUCGUGUCGUGAGAUGUUGGGAGUCCCGCAACGAGCGCAACCCCGCAUGUUGCCAGCAUUUAGUUGGGGACUCAUGCGAGACUGCCGGUGACAAACCGGUUAAGGAAGCGUCGUGGGGAUGACGUCAAGUCAUCAUGCCCCUUAUGUUCAGGGCUACACACGUGCUACAUUGGCGCGUACAGAGGGCUGCGAUACCGCGAGGUGGAGCGAAUCCCUCAAAGCGCGUCUCGGUUCGGAUUGCCUGAAACUCGCCUGCAUGAAGGCGGAGUUGCUAGUAAUCGCGGAUCAGCAUAGGUGCCGCGGUGAAUACGUUCCCGGGCCUUGUACACACCGCCCGUC